RNAcentral lists this long non-coding RNA (1124 nucleotides) under Salvia miltiorrhiza (redroot sage). RNAcentral's name for it is "long non-coding RNA (SMIL_LNC006306)". The record is from RNAcentral. Lineage: Eukaryota; Viridiplantae; Streptophyta; Magnoliopsida; Lamiales; Lamiaceae.
GCCCGCUAUAAUGUACUUCACACUUAAUUUAUUGAACUUUUCGCCCUCUGUAAUGAACACCUUACAAAAAAUAAUGAACAUCUUCAAAAUUGUAAUGAACUUACAUGAAUUACUAACUGAACAUUAGGUUCAUAAGAACAAUUACUUAACAAACAAUUAUUAAAACUAAAGAUCUCCUUCGUCUCACCCAUUUUUCUGCUGCUGCUUGAAACUACAGAUCGUCUCAAAAAUCUUUAAACAUCCUACUGGAACAACAAUUUUCAGAUCUCUAAAACCAAUUAUUUUCAAGGCUUUUACUAGCUAAUAAUUUGUAGCGACAAUAGAAAACUCUGAAUAUCAUCUUCAGGGGAACCGAAAGUUCAUUUUGGAGGAGAAAAUUUGAAGAGAGAUGCAGGAACAAUACCAUUAACUAAUGAGAAAAUCCUUCAGAUCUGCGUUGGCAAGAUAUGUUAUUUCACCCUUUAUUUACUAUAAAGCCUAUCUUUCAAGAUAUGCACAGACUUGUGUUGGCAAGAAGAGCACUAUGACAGCGAAACACACACCUCGCCCACUGGUACAUCAUGUGUUCUUUCCAUUCAUUCUUUAUUUUCUAAGGCAAAAAUAGGUAGAUUAGAAUGAAAAACUGUUCUUAUAAGUAUCAAAACCGGAGGAUAAAAAAAAUAUGACAAUUGAAGGGAAGUGAAAUCGGUAAAUUAAUAAUUCAACAAUCCAUUAAAGAUAAAUUAUACCUUGAACAGAUCCAUCCCCUUCUCAACUUUGGCCUGCAUUUCACGAAGCGUAGCCGCUUCUUCUUCAAUCUCCUCCAAUCGUUUCUUUCUUAAACAAAUUCAGAAGAUUAGAUAACAAUGAAAAGAAAAAUGGUGUAGGCAAAAUACUCAAAUAUUUUCUCGUUCGAAUCGCCAUUUCAAUGGAAAGAGAGAUUUUUGUGGGAUUUGAUUUUACUCCAGCUUCUCACAGCAAACAAAAUGACAAACCGACCCUUAUCGCACUUAAACUAAAGAUUAAUUCUUAAUAUGAUAAUUAAUAAAUCAGUAUCAUGAAUUGAUCUGGGCCGUUCGAAAUGUUCAAAUCAAAGGAGGUGAUUUAUUCUUUCUUCUCUAUAUAAGGGGGCUUCUCUAUUGAAG